This 266-nucleotide unclassified non-coding RNA is filed under the name Stereum ostrea. Its description in RNAcentral is "partial internal transcribed spacer region". The stretch from base 1 to 46 matches the Rfam family "Eukaryotic small subunit ribosomal RNA", at positions 1786 to 1831 of the family's 1831-position model. The record is from RNAcentral. Lineage: Eukaryota; Fungi; Basidiomycota; Agaricomycetes; Russulales; Stereaceae.
AAGUCGUAACAAGGUUUCCGUAGGUGAACCUGCGGAAGGAUCAUUAAUGAAAUUAUGACUGGGGUUGUAGCUGGCCUAUAAAACGGCAUGUGCACGCUCCUUUCACAAUCCACACACACCUGUGCACCUUCGCGGGGGUCUUUUUUUCUCUUCGGGGGAAUAAAGGCUCGCGUCCCUUUACACACCCUUUGUAUGUCUUAAGAAUGUCUACUCGAUGUAAUAAAACGCAUCUAAUACAACUUUCAACAACGGAUCUCUUGGCUCUC